AUGAACGCUGACAGAAUGCUUAACACCUGCAAGUCUUUGGUGAAGCUGUGCUUGCACAGCCUAGCCAAGGCGGACGGGUGAGUAACGCGUAAGGAACUUGCCCUGCAGUCAGGGAUAACAGACGGAAACGACUGAUAAGACCUGGUAAAGUCAGGCGGACUCAUGUCCAGCCUGAUGAAAAGAGAUGCUGCAGGAGAGCCUUGCGUCCUAUUAGCUUGUUGGUGGGGUAACGGCCCACCAAGGCAAUGAUAGGUAGCCGGCCUGAGAGGGUGGACGGCCACAAGGGGACUGAGAUACGGCCCUUACUCCUACGGGAGGCAGCAGUGGGGAAUAUUGGACAAUGGGGGCAACCCUGAUCCAGCAAUUCUGUGUGCACGAUGAAGGUUUUCGGAUUGUAAAGUGCUUUCAGCAGGGAAGAAAAAAAUGACGGUACCUGCAGAAGAAGCGACGGCUAAAUACGUG
Molecule: ribosomal RNA, 462 nt
Filed under: uncultured bacterium
Lineage: Bacteria
Description: partial 16S ribosomal RNA
Rfam family: Bacterial small subunit ribosomal RNA
Source: RNAcentral